Molecule: microRNA precursor, 67 nt
Filed under: Gorilla gorilla gorilla (western lowland gorilla)
Lineage: Eukaryota; Metazoa; Chordata; Mammalia; Primates; Hominidae
Description: miRNA (ENSGGOG00000041910.1)
Source: RNAcentral
UUGGUGCAAAAAUAAUUGCAGUUUUUGCCAUUGACAGUAAUGGUAAAAACUGCAAUUACUUUUGCAC